AGUGAACGCUGGCGGCAGGCCUAAUACAUGCAAGUCGAACGGCAGCACAGCAGAGCUUGCUCUGUGGGUGGCGAGUGGCGGACGGGUGAGGAAUACAUGGGAAUCUGCCCAGUCGUGGGGGGAUAACGUAUGGAAACGUACGCUAAUACCGCAUGCGCCCUACGGGGGAAAGCCGGGGACCGAAAGGCCUGGCGCGAUUGGAUGAGCCCAUGUUCGAUUAGCUAGUUGGCGGGGUAAAGGCCCACCAAGGCGACGAUCGAUAGCUGGUCUGAGAGGAUGAUCAGCCACACUGGAACUGAGACACGGUCCAGACUCCUACGGGAGGCAGCAGUAGGGAAUAUUGGACAAUGGGGGCAACCCUGAUCCAGCCAUGCCGCGUGAGUGAAGAAGG
This 391-nucleotide ribosomal RNA is filed under the name uncultured bacterium. RNAcentral describes it as "bacterial SSU rRNA". It matches the Rfam family "Bacterial small subunit ribosomal RNA", at positions 30 to 414 of the family's 1533-position model. The record is from RNAcentral.